AAGGCCGCACGUAGCGGCGCGUCCUCCGUUUGCGCGAUCUCCAAGCCCGCUCCGCGAAGCGCCGACCUCCCCCGCACGGAGCUCCAAGCCCGCGCGGAGCGUCGACCUCCCUCCCUGGACGAUCUCCAAGCCCGCGCGGAGCGUCGCGUCCUCCGUUUGCGCCGCGUCCCGACCAACGCCGAGCCCGCGCAUGUCGGGCUCCCUCUUCGCGACGGAUCGCCGCGCCGAGCGUCGGCACGUUGGGUCGCGGCGCUGCCUACGCUUUUCGGAUCGCGGGAUCUCGGCGCCGCCGAGCGUCGGCCCACGGCGCUGACCACGCGCCGAGUGUCGGAUCGCGGCGCCGCCCACGUCACGCUGCGGAUCGCGGCGCCCUCGUCAAGCUGCGGAUUGCGGGAUCGUGGCGCCGCCCUCGCCACACUGCGGAUCGCGGGAUCGCGGCGCCGCCCUCGUCACGCUGCGGAUCGCCGCCAAGUCUGCGCGGACGUCACGCCCUCGAUCUCGCGCCAAGGGUCGGCACGUCGGACCUGUCGCGAGCGUCGGCACGUCGUGGUUUCAUGGAGGACAUCGUUGAGUAUGAUGGGCCGGCACACCAACUUGAUUACGACAUGGUCUGGGACGAUGGAACCCAAGCAUUUGGUGAUCAAGGAGAUGAAGUUGAUGCUGAUGGAGUGCAAGAUGCAUCAACAAAUGGAGGUGCAGACGAUGGUGUGCAAGCUUCAGGGAUGUAAAUGGAGCUGCAAAUGGUGACCAUGUGGCUUCAGGGCCGCUGAUGAAUGAAGGAUCAGAUGAUGGUAUAUGCAUGACCCUUGAAAAGGGCUUUUUAAAUGAACUUGCGGAGGCUGGUGCCACAGAAAGUUCAGGUUACUCUCCCAGUUGCCCUCUGGGAAAUGAGGUCCAUCCAGAACAAUCAUCAACAGUUAAUGUUCUGCAGAAAUAGGGCUCUAUUUUAGGACAAUAAUCUAUGGAUUAUUUUCCUGCCCCUAUAUUUCAGAAUCUUAUCCUAUUUUCAAAGAGGUCUACCAUCUAAUAGGUAUGCUAUCAAACAUAUUAGUUUCAAAUUCCAGCUUUUGAAUUAGUUUCUAAUUUCUGUAUUGGAUAUCCAGAGCAAUAUUUUUCAGAUGUCAUGGCAAGGAGGGGCCAAGGUCUGGUGCUAUUGCCAGGACAUCAUAUUAGAUUGUAAUUUCAGUGAGAUCAUGUAGUGUGAUGUGAGAAAUGUCUUCUUCAUCCAUUGUCAUGGAUAGAUGGCAGACCAAAAGGCAGUACCCGUGGGGUUGUAGCACUUUUAUAAUGUUAUAUCCAAUUCAAGCUUUUAAAUUUA
This is a long non-coding RNA of Panicum virgatum (switchgrass), 1318 nucleotides long. RefSeq lists it as uncharacterized. Lineage: Eukaryota; Viridiplantae; Streptophyta; Magnoliopsida; Poales; Poaceae. The record is from RefSeq and is a predicted model, not a curated record. The transcript has 4 exons.